UGUGAUUUGGUUAAGUUCAUUCAGUAGAGUAGACAUUUUCUACUAUGCCAAAGCUUUGUCAUAUAUAACUGUAUAAAUAUAGAAUUUUAAUGUUUAUUUCAAAAUCUGUUUUAAUGGUAUUUUCUCCAUUUAUCUGAAAUUAAGGACAUAUUCUGCAAUUUGAAAUUUCAUUUUCAGCUGAAAUCCUGAGUGGCAAGAAUAAUUUUUAAAACCACAACUUCACUUGGAGGUAUGGGAGGAGGUGGAGGAAGAGAGAUGAAAUAACUCAGCAAACAGAUGGAAAUGGAAGAGAAUUGUUAUUGAUGAACAAAGCUUCUUGGGAUGUCUUUAAACCUCCUUCCACUGAAUCACUCCAAAGUAAUAGUAGAUGACUUAGACAAAUGAUCUGAGUUACUGAUUUCAUGGAUGGAGAGAAUGAGUAAGAAGUAUACUCUGUCCCUUGGCUGUCAUUCACCGCUUUACCAUAUCUGCACUCACAUCCCAAUGAAUGCGUUGAUUACUGUUCUGGAUUCUCCAUUUAAUAAACUGCAUUAAACUCUUCCUGGAAAAAAA
Molecule: long non-coding RNA, 552 nt
Organism: Oxyura jamaicensis (ruddy duck)
Lineage: Eukaryota; Metazoa; Chordata; Aves; Anseriformes; Anatidae
Exons: 2
Source: RefSeq, a predicted model, not a curated record